Molecule: ribosomal RNA, 404 nt
Filed under: Planctomycetes bacterium SCGC AAA023-F19
Lineage: Bacteria; Pseudomonadati; Planctomycetota
Description: bacterial SSU rRNA
Rfam family: Bacterial small subunit ribosomal RNA
Source: RNAcentral
UCGGCAAUGGACGAAAGUCUGACCGAGCAACGCCGCGUGUGCGAUGAAGGCCUUCGGGUUGUAAAGCACUGUCGAGGGGAAACAAGCCGUAAGGUUGAGUGACCCCUGGAGGAAGCACGGGCUAAGUUCGUGCCAGCAGCCGCGGUAAGACGAACCGUGCAAACGUUAUUCGGAAUCACUGGGCUUAAAGGGCGCGUAGGCGGGUGAUCAAGUCAAUGGUGAAAUCCUCCAGCUUAACUGGAGAAGUGCCUUUGAUACUGAUUGUCUAGAGGGAGGUAGGGGCAUGUGGAACUUCAGGUGGAGCGGUGAAAUGCGUAGAUAUCUGAAGGAACGCCAGUGGCGAAAGCGAUGUGCUGGACCUCUUCUGACGCUGAGGCGCGAAAGCUAGGGGAUCAAACGGGAUU